UUGCAGGCCUAAACAUGCAAGUCGAGCGAUGAAGCUUCCUUCGGGAAGUGGAUUAGCGGCGGACGGGUGAGUAACACGUGGGUAACCUGCCUCAAAGUGGGGGAUAGCCUUCCGAAAGGAAGAUUAAUACCGCAUAACAUAAGAGAAUCGCAUGAUUUUCUUAUCAAAGAUUUAUUGCUUUGAGAUGGACCCGCGGCGCAUUAGCUAGUUGGUAAGGUAACGGCUUACCAAGGCAACGAUGCGUAGCCGACCUGAGAGGGUGAUCGGCCACAUUGGAACUGAGACACGGUCCAGACUCCUACGGGAGGCAGCAGAAC
Molecule: ribosomal RNA, 317 nt
Filed under: Clostridium sporogenes
Lineage: Bacteria; Bacillati; Bacillota; Clostridia; Eubacteriales; Clostridiaceae
Description: bacterial SSU rRNA
Rfam family: Bacterial small subunit ribosomal RNA
Source: RNAcentral